RNAcentral lists this transfer RNA (73 nucleotides) under Acanthoscelides obtectus. It matches the Rfam family "tRNA". Rfam says of the family: Transfer RNA (tRNA) molecules are approximately 80 nucleotides in length. Their secondary structure includes four short double-helical elements and three loops (D, anti-codon, and T loops). Lineage: Eukaryota; Metazoa; Arthropoda; Insecta; Coleoptera; Chrysomelidae. The record is from Rfam by way of RNAcentral.
GACUCUGUAGCUCAAGUGGCAAAGCACUGGUCUUGCAAACCAGGGGUCGUGAGUUCGAUCCUCACAGGAUACA